CCGAUUUCGACGACAAAAAUGACUUCUUAUUCAGCUAACUGCUCCUAACUUUAAAUCCGUACAGCCUUGUUCAAAGAGAUUAAAAUAAAUGUGUAUAGGUACCUCGCAGUGAACUAAAAUUUUGGUUAAUAAUUUCGGUUUUUUAAGAGAUUUAAAAGCUCUCGCAAUUUCUCGUGACAUGCGCCUCUCUCAAGCCUUUAUUAGGUGAAUAUCAAAUUUUCUGGUUUCAAGUUUCUCGUCAGUUACAACAUCGCCGAGAUAGGUAAUGAACGCAUGACGUUAGCUGGUAAGAGUUUUUAUAUACUAGGCACCACACUAAUGAACUGACAAGAAGCGUUUGCCAUCCUGAAAGGAAUGGGAGCCAGUCAACACAGUUUUACGGUAAGUAAAAAAUAAGCAACCAGAACCAUUUGAACUCUUCACACUUUCAAACACCUUUGAAAAAGACGAUAAAAAAACGCUUGCACAACAUUGCAAACA
This 480-nucleotide long non-coding RNA is filed under the name Bemisia tabaci. RNAcentral describes it as "lncRNA ENSSSA2NGG010179". Lineage: Eukaryota; Metazoa; Arthropoda; Insecta; Hemiptera; Aleyrodidae. The record is from RNAcentral.